GCUGCUGGAAGUUGGUAGAAAGAAAUGGAAGGACGAAUUAGAAGAUACGGAGACCAAACUAGUCCAGAGCGAACUAAAAUCUGGGUAGAGCCACCACCAAAACACCACCACCACCGCCGCCGACAACACCACCACCAGCAGCAGCAGGGUAGAAAGAUCUCAGUGGUGUAUUAUCUUUGCCGGAACCGCCACCUCGACCCCCCGCACUUCAUCGAAGUCUCUGUCUCCUCUCCCGAAGGUCUCUACCUAAGAGAUGUGAUCAAUAGGCUUAAUGUGCUAAGAGGAAAGCAAAUGGCCGCGAUGUAUUCGUGGUCCUGCAAGAGGAGUUACAAGAGUGGAUUUCUGUGGCACGACCUCUCGGAGGAUGAUCUGGUACUCCCGGCGCAGGACAAUGAGUAUGUCCUCAAGGGCUCUGAGCUCGUGGAUCAACCCCCUCCCGAUCGGCUGCAUCGCGGCAUUGGCGACCCAAUGGUUCGGAACAAGACGCGCCUCUCCCAUAGAGCCCACGAAGCCUCCUCCUCUUCCUCUCCCCCCGCCGUUGUGUUCAAGGAGCCGAAGCUUUCCCAAUCCCCGCCGCCGACCCUGCAAGAAGGCGAGCUAUCCCCCGCCGGGAACUUCUCCCCGGUUCCCGUCGGCAGAACUACCCCUUCGUCCCGGAGCCUGGCCGAGUACCGGGUCGAGAAGGUAAUUGGAGCUCGGGAUGCUUCCACCCAGACUGAGGACAAUGGAGGAAGGAAGACCCGCACGGCCAGAGUCUCCACUGAUGAUGGGUUGUUGGGUACCGAGUGCAACGGCAGCCACCAUCAUAACAGGAGCCCGCGAUCCGUGGAGGGGUUGGAGAUCGUCGGAGAUGAGAGUUCGCCUCCGUGGAGUGCUUCUUCCUUGGGUGAUGGGAAGAUGGAUACGUUGGAGAAUUUGAUAAGAGCUGAGGCGGCUUUCAGGGCGAACAAUUUUAGGAUAACGGAGGAGUCCCCCAUGCGGGUGAAGCUCAAGGCCGCGGAUUUGCUGAUGCAGCUGAUCUCGUGCGGGUCGAUCUCUGCGAAAGGCUACGGCCAUGGCUUUGAGCUCGUGCCCGCCUACCGGCCGAGGUUCGCUCAUGCGAACUUCUCCUCACCGGUGGUGCUGGGAGAGCUCGGCUCGCGGCUGGAAAAUUCGAGGCCGACGGGGUUGUGCGAUUAUUUUGGCCGGAGCUUGAUCGAAGCUAAGAACCCCAAGGAGGAACUAGGAGCUUCUUCCUGUGAGGAUGACCGAGAUCUGGAAGAUGCAGGAGCUGCAAGAUGCCUAGUUUGGAGGGGGACAAAGAAAAUGUAGUGGAUUCAAAACAUUCAAAAUGCCUCCUACGAACAACCAAAAUUACAUCUUGCAAGCACUUCAGGAAUGAAACAAUGGCAUCACCUAUCUCAAAUGCAAGGCAUUCUUCAGCUGGGCCAGACUGCAGCAGAUCCUUUCCUCUCAACUCAUCAAGAGUUGGAAGUAGAAUGAUCACUGAUGCUUCCCUAGUGAAAGGAUCAUCUAUGAGUUUAAAAUCUUUCAAAGAUGAAAAGGAGAAGGUGAUCAUGAUCGAAGAAAGGCUUAAUUCUGGAGCUCGGGUUAUAAUUCAAUCCAGAUCUCCAUGUGAUGAUAGUAAGGAUAGCUCUGGUUUGCCAUAAGGAGCCAGUAUUUUUAUAUAUUGUGUCUCUUUUCAUUGUCUACUUCUCUCAUCACAGCUGACCAUGGAAUGAGGUUGCUUGUAAUUUCUGAAAUAGUUGUGAGUGCCACUUCAUUCAAUUUAUGGCUUAUUUUGGUAGUUUUGGGUCAUUUUCUUCCUCCAGCCUUGAAUAUUACCUCAUCAGUUACCUGCCCGCAAGGCAAUGCCAUUGUUUCAUUAGUCAUUAAUUGGUUCUAAGAUUCCUUCCAAGUAUGAAGGUCCUUUAUUUGGCAACAAAAUUCCAUUUCAGGUUUCUGGGUAAGCUGGAUUCUUUAUUGCUUUUAGUGGCCUGCACAAAUUGUAUGCUGAAAGUAUAACUAUAUGUAAAAAUCCUUGACAAAGAUCCAUUCAGUGCUUGUAAGGCCAGUAAUACCUUUAGGCCUUUGAUGGGAAGAAUAGAUUAAACCUUAAUGCUUCCUCAUGAGAUGGCAAAAUUUUCAUUUCCUAGGAACACCUUAUAAAACAUGUAAGGUUAACAAAUUGGUCCUACAACAUUUAAAAAUAA
This is a non-coding RNA of Phoenix dactylifera (date palm), 2192 nucleotides long. NCBI's taxonomy places the organism in Eukaryota, Viridiplantae, Streptophyta, Magnoliopsida, Arecales, Arecaceae. The record is from RefSeq and is a predicted model, not a curated record.